RNAcentral lists this ribosomal RNA (483 nucleotides) under uncultured bacterium. RNAcentral describes it as "bacterial SSU rRNA". It matches the Rfam family "Bacterial small subunit ribosomal RNA", at positions 903 to 1397 of the family's 1533-position model. The record is from RNAcentral.
AAAGGAAUAGACGGGGGCCCGCACAAGCAGCGGAGCGUGUGGUUUAAUUCGAUGCAACGCGAAAAACCUCACCAAGAUUUGACAUGUCGGAAGUCGUGAACCGAAAGGGGAGCUAACUGUUAAGCCAGUAGCCGUCACAGGUGCUGCAUGGCUGUCGUCAGCUCGUGCCGUGAGGUGUAUGGUUAAGUCCUGCAACGAGCGCAACCCUCGUGGCUAGUUGUUUUUUCUAGCCAGACUGCCUCGCAAAACGGGGAGGAAGGUGGGGAUGACGUCAAGUCAGCAUGGCCUUUAUAUCUUGGGCUACACACACGCUACAAUGGGUGGCACAAUAGGUUGCAACAGUGCGAACUGAAGCUAAUCCCCAAAGCCACCCUCAGUACAGAUUGCAGGCUGAAACCCGCCUGCAUGAAGGAGGAGUUGCUAGUAACCGCAAAUCAGCAUGUUGCGGUGAAUACGUUCUCGGGCCUUGUACACACCGCCCGU